UGGGGCGUCGCCAAGCGGUAAGGCAGCGGUUUUUGGUACCGCCAUUCGCAGGUUCGAAUCCUGCCGCCCCAG
This 72-nucleotide transfer RNA is filed under the name Caenispirillum bisanense. It matches the Rfam family "tRNA". From Rfam's summary of the family: Transfer RNA (tRNA) molecules are approximately 80 nucleotides in length. Their secondary structure includes four short double-helical elements and three loops (D, anti-codon, and T loops). The record is from Rfam by way of RNAcentral. Lineage: Bacteria; Pseudomonadati; Pseudomonadota; Alphaproteobacteria; Rhodospirillales; Novispirillaceae.